RNAcentral lists this transfer RNA (74 nucleotides) under Parcubacteria group bacterium ADurb.Bin247. Its description in RNAcentral is "tRNA-Ile". It matches the Rfam family "tRNA". From Rfam's summary of the family: Transfer RNA (tRNA) molecules are approximately 80 nucleotides in length. Their secondary structure includes four short double-helical elements and three loops (D, anti-codon, and T loops). Further hydrogen bonds mediate the characteristic L-shaped molecular structure. tRNAs have two regions of fundamental functional importance: the anti-codon, which is responsible for specific mRNA codon recognition, and the 3' end, to which the tRNAs corresponding amino acid is attached (by aminoacyl-tRNA synthetases). tRNAs cope with the degeneracy of the genetic code in two manners: having more than one tRNA (with a specific anti-codon) for a particular amino acid; and 'wobble' base-pairing, i.e. permitting non-standard base-pairing at the 3rd anti-codon position. The record is from RNAcentral.
GGGCGCGUAGCUCAGAGGUUAGAGCAUCCGUCUUAUAAGCGGAAGGUCGGUGGUUCAAAUCCACCCACGCCCAC